This 253-nucleotide ribosomal RNA is filed under the name uncultured bacterium. RNAcentral's name for it is "partial 16S ribosomal RNA". It matches the Rfam family "Bacterial small subunit ribosomal RNA", at positions 524 to 776 of the family's 1533-position model. The record is from RNAcentral.
UACGUAGGGUGCGAGCGUUAAUCGGAAUUACUGGGCGUAAAGCGUGCGCAGGCGGCGCGUUAAGACAGGUGUGAAAGCCCCGAGCUUAACUUGGGAAUUGCGCUUGUGACUGGCGUGCUGGAGUGUGGCAGAGGGAGGGGGAAUUCCACGUGUAGCAGUGAAAUGCGUAGAGAUGUGGAGGAACACCGAUGGCGAAGGCAGCCACCUGGGCCAGCACUGACGCUGAGGCACGAAAGCGUGGGGAGCAAACAGG